This 439-nucleotide ribosomal RNA is filed under the name uncultured bacterium. RNAcentral's name for it is "bacterial SSU rRNA". It matches the Rfam family "Bacterial small subunit ribosomal RNA", at positions 958 to 1397 of the family's 1533-position model. The record is from RNAcentral.
AACGCGAAGAACCUUACCUGGGCUCGAAGCGCAGUGGACCGGGGUAGAAAUAUCCCUUUUCGCAAGAACUGCUGCGGAGGUGCUGCAUGGCUGUCGUCAGCUCGUGUCGUGAGAUGUUGGGUUAAGUCCCGCAACGAGCGCAACCCUUAUCGUUAGUUGCCAACGGGUCAAGCCGGGAACUCUAGCGAAACCGCCUCGGAUAACGGGGAGGAAGGUGGGGAUGACGUCAAGUCCUCAUGGCCUUUAUGUCCAGGGCUACACACGUGCUACAAUGGCCGGUACAAACCGUCGCAAACCCGUGAGGGGGAGCUAAUCGGAAAAAGCCGGCCUCAGUUCGGAUUGGAGUCUGCAAUUCGACUCCAUGAAGCUGGAAUCGCUAGUAAUCGCGGAUCAGAACGCCGCGGUGAAUACGUUCCCGGGCCUUGUACACACCGCGAGC